UACAGAGGGUGCAAGCGUUAAUCGGAAUGACUGGGCGUAAAGGGUGCGUAGGUGGCUGUUUAAGUGAGAUGUGAAAUCCCCGGGCUUAACCUGGGAACGGCAUUUGAUACUGGACGGCUAGAGUAUGGGAGAGGUAAGUGGAAUUUCCGGUGUAGCGGUGAAAUGCGUAGAUAUCGGAAGGAACACCAGUGGCGAAGGCGGCUUACUGGCCUAAUACUGACACUGAGGCACGAAAGCGUGGGGAGCAAACAGG
RNAcentral lists this ribosomal RNA (253 nucleotides) under uncultured bacterium. Its description in RNAcentral is "partial 16S ribosomal RNA". It matches the Rfam family "Bacterial small subunit ribosomal RNA", at positions 524 to 776 of the family's 1533-position model. The record is from RNAcentral.